UCCUACGGGAGGCAGCAGUAGGGAAUCUUCCACAAUGGACGAAAGUCUGAUGGAGCAACGCCGCGUGAGUGAAGAAGGGUUUCGGCUCGUAAAGCUCUGUUGGUAGCGAAGAAAGAUAGAGGUAGUAACUGGCCUUUAUUUGACGGUAAUUACUUAGAAAGUCACGGCUCACUCCGUGCCAGCAGCCGCGGUUAUACGUCGGUGGCAAGCGUUGUCCGGAUUUAUUGUGCGUAAAGCGCGUGCAGGCGGUU
This 251-nucleotide ribosomal RNA is filed under the name uncultured bacterium. RNAcentral's name for it is "partial 16S ribosomal RNA". It matches the Rfam family "Bacterial small subunit ribosomal RNA", at positions 337 to 580 of the family's 1533-position model. The record is from RNAcentral.